UCUGCCCCCCGCCCGCUCUCCGUUGUUGCCCGUCUCCUGCUCCAACUAUUUUUAAAUUGCUGUGGUAUUUUGACUAUACAAAGGUAUUGAAAUAAGACUUUAAUUGAGUGCUAAGAGAAUGGAAUUUCAUAAAAUUUCUUUUUUAAUUUUAAAAAUUGAAAUUAAUUUUAUAUGUGAAGAAACAAUAAUAAAAAUUAAGGACAAGAAGACCCUAAGAAUUUUAAAAAUUUCAAUAUAAUAUAAUAUUAUAUUGAAAUUUUUUAAUUGGGGCGAUUAUUAAAUAUUAAAAACUUUAAUUUUUUUAAAAAAGAACCAAUAUUAUUGGUUAUUUGAGAAAAUACUCUAGGGAUAACAGCGUAAUAAUUUUUGAUAGUUCUUAUAGACAAAAUAGUUUGCGACCUCGAUGUUGGAUUAGGAUUCUUUUUUAAUGAAGAAGUAAAAAAAGAAGUUGUCACUUAUU
RNAcentral lists this ribosomal RNA (460 nucleotides) under Amblyomma maculatum (Gulf Coast tick). Its description in RNAcentral is "partial 16S ribosomal RNA". Lineage: Eukaryota; Metazoa; Arthropoda; Arachnida; Ixodida; Ixodidae. The record is from RNAcentral.